Molecule: ribosomal RNA, 453 nt
Filed under: uncultured Mollicutes bacterium
Lineage: Bacteria; Bacillati; Mycoplasmatota; Mollicutes
Description: bacterial SSU rRNA
Rfam family: Bacterial small subunit ribosomal RNA
Source: RNAcentral
AAGCGGUGGAGUAUGUUGUUUAAUUCGAAGAUACACGAAGAACCUUUACCAGGUCUUGACAUACCAUUGACAGGCGCAGAGAUGUGCUCUCCUUCGGGCAAUGGAUACAGGUGGUGCAUGGUUGUCGUCAGCUCGUGCCGUGAGGUGUUGGGUUAAGUCCCGCAACGAGCGCAACCCUCAUUGUUAGUUACUACCAUUCAGUUGAGGACUCUAAUGAGACUGCCAACGAUAAGUUGGAGGAAGGUGGGGAUGACGUCAAAUCAUCAUGCCCUUUAUGACCUGGGCUACAAACGUACUACAAUGGCCAAUACAAAGAGAUGCGAAGCGGUGACGUGGAGCGAACCUCAGAAAGUUGGUCUCAGUUCAGAUUGAAGUCUGCAACUCGACUUCAUGAAGGCGGAAUCGCUAGUAAUCGCGGGUCAGCAGACCGCGGUGAAUACGUUCCCGGGUUUU